GUACCGUAAGGAGCUGUGGAGUGUAUGGAAGAGAGAAUGCCGGAAUGAGUAGCGGGAUGGAGGUGGGAAUCCUCCAGGCCGAAUAUCCAAGGUUUCCAGAGUAAAGCUGAUCUGCUCUGGGUAAGUCGGGACCUAAGGCGAGGCCGAGAGGCGUAGCCGAUGGACAACAGGUUGAGAUUCCUGUACUGCUGUAUAUCAGAACUGUGGGGACACAGAGGGAAAGCACAGGCGCGGAACGGAAAGCCGCGUGCAAGCGAGGUACCGGACUGGUAGGAAAAACCGCCAGCCAACGGGAAGACGUGAUGCGGACCGAAAUUUAGUAGGGAAGUGUGUGGGCCAGCUGUCAAGAAAGGCCGCUAUUGUGUAUACAGUACCCGUACCGUAAACCGACACAGGUGGAUGAGGAGAGAAUCCUAAGGCCGGCGGAAGAAGUAUUGUCAAGGAACUCGGCAAAAUGACCCUGUAACUUCGGGAGAAAGGGUGCCUCGAAAGAGGCCGCAGAGAAUUGGCCCAAGCAACUGUUUAGCAAAAACACAGGUCUAUGCGAAACCGAAAGGUGAGGUAUAUGGGCUGACGCCUGCCCGGUGCUGGAAGGUUAAGGGGAGAUGUUAGAGCAAUCGAAGCAUCGAACUUAAGCCCCAGUAAACGGCGGCCGUAACGAUAACGGUCCUAAGGUAGCGAAAUUCCUUGUCGGGUAAGUUCCGACCCGCACGAAAGGCGUAAUGAUUUGGGCGCUGUCUCGACAAUACAUCCGGUGAAAUUGAAGUACCAGUGAAGAUGCUGGUUACCCGCGCCAGGACGGAAAGACCCCAUGGAGCUUUACUCCAGCUUGAUACUGGGAUUCGGUAUUGCAUGUACAGGAUAGGUGGGAGGCUAAGAAGCAUGGACGCCAGUCUAUGUGGAGCCGCUGUUGGGAUACCACCCUUGCGGUAUUGGAUUUCUAACCAGCCGCCGUGAAACCGGCGGUGGGACAAUGUCAGGCGGGGAGUUUGACUGGGGCGGUCGCCUCCGAAAGGGUAUCGGAGGCGCCCAAAGGUUCCCUCAGAAUGGUUGGAAACCAUUCGAAGAGUGCAAAGGCAGAAGGGAGCUUGACUGUGACACCGACGGGUGGAGCAGGUACGAAAGUAGGGCUUAGUGAUCCGGUGGUAUUAAGUGGGAAUGCCAUCGCUCAACGGAUAAAAGCUACCCUGGGAUAACAGGCUUAUCACUCCCAAGAGUUCACAUCGACGGAGUGGUUUGGCACCUCGAUGUCGGCUCAUCGCAUCCUGGGGCUGUAGUAGGUCCCAAGGGUCGGGCUGUUCGCCCAUUAAAGCGGUACGCGAGCUGGGUUCAGAACGUCGUGAGACAGUUCGGUCCCUAUCCGGCGUGGGCGCAGGAUAUUUGAGAGGAGCUGUCCUUAGUACGAGAGGACCGGGAUGGACUGACCUCUGGUGCACCGGUUGUUCCGCCAGGAGCAUAGCCGGGUAGCCAAGUCGGGAAGGGAUAAACGCUGAAGGCAUCUAAGCGUGAAGCCCCCCUCAAGAUGAGAUAUCCCAUGCGAAAGCGAUAAGACCCCUUGAAGACGACGAGGUAGAUAGGUCAGAGGUGGAAGUGCAGUAAUGCAUGGAGCUGACUGAUACUAAUAGGUCGAAGGCUUAACC
RNAcentral lists this ribosomal RNA (1640 nucleotides) under metagenome. Its description in RNAcentral is "bacterial LSU rRNA". It matches the Rfam family "Bacterial large subunit ribosomal RNA", at positions 1258 to 2925 of the family's 2925-position model. The record is from RNAcentral.